Molecule: small nuclear RNA, 128 nt
Filed under: Merica undulata
Lineage: Eukaryota; Metazoa; Mollusca; Gastropoda; Neogastropoda; Cancellariidae
Description: Cancellaria undulata partial U2 snRNA
Rfam family: U2 spliceosomal RNA
About the family: U2 is a small nuclear RNA (snRNA) component of the spliceosome (involved in pre-mRNA splicing).
Source: RNAcentral
AAAGUGUAGUAUCUGUUCUUAUCAGCUUAAUAUCUGAUACGUGGCUCAUUGAGUCUCUACGAUAUUAAACNGAUUUUUGGACUUAGGCGAGAUGCCCGGGGCUUGCUCCGCUCUCGCCACGGGUCGGC